GUCUCUUUGAAAAUUAAUAAUAGAGAGUUUGGCCUGCUCAGUGAGAUUUUUAACAGCUGCGGUAUUAUAACUGUACUAAGGUAGCAUAAUAAUUUGCCUUAUAAAUUAGGGCUAGAAUGAAUGGUUUGACGAAAAUUAUACUGUCUCUAUCUUAAUUGAUAGAAAUUAAUUUUUAUAGUGAAAAAGCUUAAAUGGUUUAAAGGGACGAGAAGACCCUAUUGAGCUUUAUACUAGUUAUAAUAAAAUAUAGUUUAUUUAGUUAAACUAAUUAUUAUAUUUAUUAUGUUUAGUUUUGGUUGGGGUGAUCAAGGAAUAAGAUAAGAAAUACAUAACUUCCUUAAAAGAAUAAUUUUUUAGAAUAAUUAACCAAUGAUAUUGCUUUUAUGAUAAGUUACCAUAGGGAUAACAGCGUAAUUUUUUUGGAGAGUUCAUAUUAAAAAAAGAGAUUGCGACCUCGAUGUUGGAUUAAAAUAACCAUAGGGUGAAGAGGCUUUAUAUGGUGAAUCUGUUCGAUUUUUAAAAUUUU
This 526-nucleotide ribosomal RNA is filed under the name Vulcanoctopus hydrothermalis. RNAcentral's name for it is "partial 16S ribosomal RNA". It matches the Rfam family "Bacterial large subunit ribosomal RNA", at positions 1825 to 2597 of the family's 2925-position model. Lineage: Eukaryota; Metazoa; Mollusca; Cephalopoda; Octopoda; Octopodidae. The record is from RNAcentral.